Molecule: non-coding RNA, 1495 nt
Organism: Nothobranchius furzeri (turquoise killifish)
Lineage: Eukaryota; Metazoa; Chordata; Actinopteri; Cyprinodontiformes; Nothobranchiidae
Source: RefSeq, a predicted model, not a curated record
CAAGGGAAUUAAUUGUUCUGCAUUAAUACCCAAAAAUAUUAUGUUCUGGUAUUACAUAAAUAAACACCAAACUCCACAUGUUAAUAGAGCCUAAACAACCAUCAAUUAACCGCUUGUAAGCACGAAUCUGUUCCCCAUUCUAAAGUCACAUUUUGUUCGUCCCUAAUUACUAGUAGUUUAGUGUUAAUUAACCACUUAAUGCAAGAAUAUGUUCCCCUUGAAUCACUUCCUUAAAAGCCACAUAUUGAUUUGAGCUAAUUAGCAUGUACGUUAAUCAGCAACCAACCGUUAACUUUCACUUAACAAACCAUUAUGAAUGGCUUAUUUAGAUAAAACUCUUAAUUUAUGGCCUGUUAAUGUUAGAAUGACGGCAUUAGUAAUAAGCUGUUAAUAAGUGCUUGAUAAUGUCUACUUCAGGCUUACUAGUCCACUAAUAUGCAUAUUAAUUGGCAGCUAAUUAAUGGUCAUUUGUGUUCCCUAAACUAAAGCGUUGCCACAUCUGCUAUGAGAUGCCCUUUGGUAUGAUCAGUGUCUGCUGCUAGAUCUCUUUGGCGCGCGCCUUUUUGGUGAUGCUGUUAACACAUUCAAAGGAAGUAGCGUGCUGACCAAUCACAGGCUUGCACUUUCCAAAGAUGUAGUCCAUCAGUUGAAAACUUGGUGAUGUCUCUGUCAGAGCUGCUGCUUUGAUGGGUGAUGGUGUCUGUGCACCACCACAGAUGGGCUUAAUCCACCUUAUGUGCCUGUUUAUUGACACAUUUGACUGCUUGGCUCCAGAUGUUGGCUCGGCCCUGUAGCUGAACUCACCGCUGUUUAAACUCUGCAUACAGGAGGCGGUUGGGAAACCCCUUCCGGCAGAUCCUGAUCCCCUCCAGGACUCCGUUACACCUGAGCUGAUGCAGGACCAGGAAGGGAUCCAUCACACCUGGAAACAACAGUCGACCCUCUCGUUGGUGCAGUAAUUUCGUGCUGCCUGAACCCGGAAGGACGUGACUCGGGUUCGUGUAAACCGGCAUCGUGGUACUUUGGUCUGUGGUUCAUGUUCAGCAACGUGUUGAGAGUUUUCAUCUAUGAAGAAGCCUGACAGAAUCCCCCUGAAGGCACCUGAGCCACCCACCAGUGGUUCGAUGCCAGACUUGCUGUGAAACUGCUGACUGGGCGGAUUCUCACCUGGAUUCUUGUCCUCGUUGGGGAUUAUGCAGCGGACAAAGUGAGGCUGAGUGCUUCGUAGGUUCGCCAUCAGUUUAUUCAGAUUUUCCUGUAAUUUCACACAGAAAUUGGAACAUUUACAUCAGCUGACGGCGUUUUGCUUUUUGUGUCAUCAUAACUAGCCUGAGCUCACCUUGUGCAGCUGUGAAACCGUCUGAAACGACGCUGCUUUCCUCUUCCGGUGCUUGGUCUCGCUCUUUGGGUCGCUGGCUGAAAUGACACCAACAACCACUUUUAACAGGAUUCUCCCAGCCGUCCUUGUUAGGUGGAACGAGGACAUACCCGUAUC